CCUACGGGGCGCACCAGUAGGGAAUCUUCGGCAAUGGACGAAAGUCUGACCGAGCAACGCCGCGUGAGUGAAGAAGGUUUUCGGAUCGUAAAACUCUGUUGGUAGAGAAGAACGUUGGUGAGAGUGGAAAGCUCAUCAAGUGACGGUAACUACCCAGAAAGGGACGGCUAACUACGUGCCAGCAGCCGCGGUAAUACGUAGGUCCCGAGCGUUGUCCGGAUUUAUUGGGCGUAAAGCGAGCGCAGGUGGUUUAUUAAGUCUGGUGUAAAAGGCAGUGGCUCAACCAUUGUAUGCAUUGGAAACUGGUAGACUUGAGUGCAGGAGAGGAGAGUGGAAUUCCAUGUGUAGCGGUGAAAUGCGUAGAUAUAUGGAGGAACACCGGUGGCGAAAGCGGCUCUCUGGCCUGUAACUGAAACUGAGGCUCGAAAGCGUGGGGAGCAAAAGGGAUUAGAUACCAGCGUAGUC
RNAcentral lists this ribosomal RNA (465 nucleotides) under uncultured bacterium. Its description in RNAcentral is "bacterial SSU rRNA". It matches the Rfam family "Bacterial small subunit ribosomal RNA", at positions 338 to 795 of the family's 1533-position model. The record is from RNAcentral.